AAGACGGACAGCCGCCGCGGUAAUACCUGCAGCUCGAGUGGUGACCGCUAUUAUUGGGCCUAAAACGUCCGUAGCCGGUUUAUUAAAUGCCUGGGUAAAUCGUGUAGCUUAACUAUACGAAUUCCGGGUAGACUGAUAGACUUGAGACCGGGAGAAGCUAGAGGUACUCCUGGGGUAGAGGUGAAAUUCUGUAAUCCUAGGGGGACCACCAGUGGCGAAGGCGUCUAGCUAGAACGGGUCUGACGGUGAGGGACGAAGCCCUGGGGCGCAAACCGGAUUAGAUACCCGGGUAGUCCAGGGUGUAAACGCUGCUUGCUUGAUGUUAGUCGGGCUCCGAGCCCGAUUAGUGUCGGAGAGAAGUUGUUAAGCAAGCUGCCUGGGAAGUACGGCCGCAAGACUGAAACUUAAAGGAAUUGGCGGGGGAGCACUGAA
This 432-nucleotide ribosomal RNA is filed under the name Escherichia coli. Its description in RNAcentral is "bacterial SSU rRNA". It matches the Rfam family "Archaeal small subunit ribosomal RNA", at positions 448 to 883 of the family's 1478-position model. Lineage: Bacteria; Pseudomonadati; Pseudomonadota; Gammaproteobacteria; Enterobacterales; Enterobacteriaceae. The record is from RNAcentral.